This is a long non-coding RNA of Orbicella faveolata, 1743 nucleotides long. NCBI's taxonomy places the organism in Eukaryota, Metazoa, Cnidaria, Anthozoa, Scleractinia, Merulinidae. The record is from RefSeq and is a predicted model, not a curated record.
CUAAGAGUUCAGAGUUUCUAAUUUGCAUAAGUUAGACAAAGACUUUAGCGCGAACUGAGUCUGAUUGUACAUUUAAACACGGUCGUAAUUGGUACAAUUACGUUCAAAGGUACAAUUGAACUCCGUAAACAAUUGAAUUGUGUGGAUUGACCCGGGGCUCAUCAUACCGAGUUGUGCAUUAACACGAGGCACUGGAUACCACCAGCAAAGUGAAAAGAAAACAAGUGACGUUUUAUGCAAUGUACAUGACGGUAUACCUGAGUAAGACAGCUUUAUGUAAGAAAACACAGCCUUUUUGUUGACUAGCAGUUAAAUGAAGAUUUUAAACGGGCUGUGUCACCCCAUGUCACUUCUUGUCAUGCUCUUCUAAAGGGUAAUAAAAAUCUUAAUUUUCCCAACGUUUUUUUCCUUUUUAGGUUGUGGAAGAUAUUGACAGCGAGACGGUUGGAGAGAACCUUUCAGACAUUGUGCCUGGUUUAAUUAGGUGUUAUGAUCAUGUGGAGAGCAGUGUCCGUAAAGCUAGUGUGUUUUGUCUUGUGGCGAUUCACAGUUCAGUCGGUGAGGAGACCCUAAUGCCACAUUUGGCCGAGCUAUCUGGGACAAAGAUGAAAUUGCUCAAUCUCUACAUCAAGAGGUCCCAGUCCGGAAUCGGUGGGCGUCGUCCGUGAGAGUCUUGUGACGAGUUAUGAAGAUAUUCACUUACAGUCUCCGUUGAGAGAUGGAAAGUUCUCUAAGAGACCGAGCCACUCAAAUUGGCGAUCGCUAAUCACGGUGUUUCUACGUGUAACAAAGGUCCUACCCGGCACAGAAGCGUCGCUUAGUCUCCUCGGUUCAAGACUGUACUUGGUCUCCUGCCAAAAAUGUGGUUCUUUAGUUGAGAAUAAUGUUUCGGUGAAACCAUGAAUCCGCCCAAACGUUAAGAUAUUGUCAAGUCUGCCGAGUCAGUUGCCGAUUUCUAAACACAUUGUGCAGCCUGUCAGUACGUGUUAAUCGUGAUCCAGGCUCUCUGAAAAGUUCUUUCACCAUUGCUGUUAACAGGAGUUUUCCUUUCUGGUAUUGUUAAAUCGCUCCGCGCCGAUCAGCACAAGGACUUGGCGAUUGUAUACAAGGAGAGAGUUGUUUUUCCAGAAGCAACUGAGUUAGAAAUGGGCCUACAAAGAAAAAAAAAAAAAAUCAAGAUUAGAAUUGUAAACUAUUAUUGAACAAGGCCCAAAUGUAUUGCCACCGAGAUCUUUUAAUUUGCCAGCAUUUUAUCUUGUUAACUUUGUACAUUUUUUAUCGUUUUCAUUUUGUAUUAUGACUUUGUUUUCUUGUUGUUUCUGAAGUACAGAGACAAAUCUAAUUCCUGAUAUUGCCACCAAGCGUUGAAAUUGGAAGCAAUGCUCCACUAAAGAGGCACUUCAUCGUUACAAAUAUUUGCGUGACUUGCGUUUUUUUAGAGAUUAGCGUGGCGCAAAUCCUUGAGUGAGGUUGUCACGCAACCCUGCAUCGGAUCUAGGCAAAGGCCAUGUAUGUGCCCGCUGUAGGUAUGAUUUUGCUUGUGAGAUAAGGAAUAAUAUAUUUAUUUUUAAAAUAGACUUCCUUUGGGCGCAAUAAAUAUCGUAUUGUUUUAUGUGUGAAGUAAUGACCUAGACCGUAGGUACAUUGUAACGAUCUUUAUAAAGAUGGGUAAUUCCGACCUCUGUCAGGAAACUUACAGUCGAAAACAGCAAAACCAUUAAAAAUCUUGCGAAGUAAAAAAAA